Molecule: ribosomal RNA, 416 nt
Filed under: uncultured bacterium
Lineage: Bacteria
Description: bacterial SSU rRNA
Rfam family: Bacterial small subunit ribosomal RNA
Source: RNAcentral
UUAACCGGAUUAGAUACCCUGGUAGUCCACGCCGUAAACGAUGUCGACUUGGAGGUUGUGCCCUUGAGGCGUGGCUUCCGGAGCUAACGCGUUAAGUCGACCGCCUGGGGAGUACGGCCGCAAGGUUAAAACUCAAAUGAAUUGACGGGGCCCGCACAAGCGGUGGAGCAUGUGGUUUAAUUCGAUGCAACGCGAAGAACCUUACCUGGUCUUGACAUCCACAGAACUUUCCAGAGAUGGAUUGGUGCCUUCGGGAACUGUGAGACAGGUGCUGCAUGGCUGUCGUCAGCUCGUGUUGUGAAAUGUUGGGUUAAGUCCCGCAACGAGCGCAACCCUUAUCCUUUGUUGCCAGCGGUCCGGCCGGGAACUCAAAGGAGACUGCCAGUGAUAAACUGGAGGAAGGUGGGGAUGACGUA